Molecule: ribosomal RNA, 253 nt
Filed under: uncultured bacterium
Lineage: Bacteria
Description: partial 16S ribosomal RNA
Rfam family: Bacterial small subunit ribosomal RNA
Source: RNAcentral
UACGUAGGGGGCAAGCGUUGUCCGGAAUCAUUGGGCGUAAAGAGCGUGUAGGCGGCCCGGUAAGUCCGCUGUGAAAGUCCAGGGCUCAACCCUGGGAUGCCGGUGGAUACUGUCGGGCUCGAGUCCGGAAGAGGCGAGUGGAAUUCCUGGUGUAGCGGUGAAAUGCGCAGAUAUCAGGAGGAACACCAAUGGCGAAGGCAGCUCGCUGGGACGUGACCGACGCUGAGACGCGAAAGCGUGGGGAGCAAACAGG